RNAcentral lists this long non-coding RNA (2207 nucleotides) under Homo sapiens (human). RNAcentral's name for it is "HSALNT0035998". The record is from RNAcentral. Lineage: Eukaryota; Metazoa; Chordata; Mammalia; Primates; Hominidae.
AAAAAAAGAUACAACCUAAAUGCCUACAUAUAGCACACACUUUGUGGUAUAAUCACACAGUGGAAUUUAUGCAGAAGUGAAAAUGAACUGCAGUACACAUACCCACAUACAAAGUUUAAUGUUGAGCAGAAGAUUUAAGACAGAUGAAUACAGACCGAAAGAGUCCAUUUAUGUAAAAUAUAAAAACAGUAUCAUGUUUAGGAUUUCAUUCACAGGUGAAGAAUUAAAAAGAAAAGCAAGAAGGUGAUUAAUACAAGAGUCAGGGUCAUGGUUACUUGUUGGGUGAAGGAAUCUGGGAAGAGCAAACAGGGACCCUUUCUAAGAUGCUGAUAGUUUUCUAUAUUUUAAGCUGGGUGGUGAGUUCAUGGGUACUCAUUUUAUUAUUUUUUUUUAGUUUUUGGUUAAACAGGGUCUCACUCUGUCACCCAGGCUGGAGUGCAGUGGUGCGAUCUUGGCUCACUGCAACCUCUGCCUCCCAGGCUCAGGUGAUCCUCCCACUUCAGCCUCCCUCAUUUUAUUAUUCUUCUUUAAACUAUACAUACACAUUUCAUAUGCUUUUUUUUAAAUAUUUCAUAAUACUAAAAUCAAGUAGACAUGCUAAGUGAAAGCCAUUGACAAAGAACCACAUAUUAUAUGUUCCAUAUAUGAUAUGUCUGGAAUAGGAACAUCUACAAUCACAGAAAGUAGAUGCCCGGGUGCGGUGGCUCACAUUAGGCAUUUCUUAAACUGAAACCUUAUCUUUUCCAUCAGGGUCCCCCAACCACCGGGAUUUGGUGCAGCAUGAAGCCACUAGCAGGGCCUUAGUAAAUAAUCAGGCCGAUUGAUCAGGCAUCCUUACACACUCAACAGCCAGUGGCCAGGGCCUCUCUACACGGUCAGAAACUGGGAUCCACAGUAGAUCCGGGGCAGACAGGGCUCUUGUUUUUCCCUGGGUUACCUGUUUCCCGCAGUUACCUCUAUCCUGGUCACUUCAUGGGAGAGAUCCUUUAUCGUGGAGUCUUGAUAGGACUUGAUUUGGGUGAUUAACUCCAGGAAGACUCGGCCUCGAUAAGCUAAACCAUCCCUAACAGAGUCGGGAAUACACUAGGGCAAGCGAGAGGAAAACGGAGAAAAGGGGUGAGAGAAAAAGAACAGGCCAAUCUCCUUUGAAACCCCUGAGGCAAAGACAAGGUUGUCCAGUCACUGCCUGCCCGGGGCUUACUGCAACCACAAUCCCGGAGAAGAAUUCCAGAAACCUCCACGCCGGGAAACCUCUGGGCAUUGAGCCCUCUUCUGCACCCUGGGAUCCUGCCUGCCCCAUGGAAUACCGUGCUCCCACCAUGCUUCAGGCUGGGUGGUAACUGUGAUUACCACUGAGUUUGCACUACCCGCCUGGCCAAUCAGAGCCUGCCCUGCCUCCUUGGCAACUGUGAGCCACGGGGAGCACACAUGACCUAAGGAGGACAAUUAGAAUGCUUCCCUGGCCUUCCCUGCUGGAGGCUGUGUGGUGAGGUUCCCAGCCGGGAAGUCUGACUGAGGCAGGAGGGAAUGAGGCAGGGGGGAAGGAGAGUGAGGACCUCCUAGUGGCCUUGAGGACCAAUGCCUGUGGUUCUUCCUCAGCAUCCUUCCCUGCCUCGUUCCUUCCCAGGGCCUCUUUGCACAGUCAGAAACUGGGAUCCACAGUAGAUCCGGGCGGACAGGGCUCUUGUUUUUCCCUGGGUUUAAGCCUGUUCGAGUCGGGUUUCUGGCAUUUACCGCCAUUCCUGAAUAACCUCAUGCUUCCUCACACUUGCCUGUGCUGUGUCCUCCGUCCUUCGCGCCCUUCCCACCUGCUGAAAAUCUUACCAUGGUCUCCUCUCAAAGCCCCUUCCUCAGGGAAAGCCCAGAGCUUCCGCUUGCUCCUUUCUUGUGCCCCCACGCCUGUCCCACAUGCACGUGGCUGCUCAUGGACAGGCUUCACGUCCUCCACAAGACCCCGAGGGACAGAAACCAGGGCCGGGGCCUCGGGGCACGUCCCAGGCCCUAGUGCUUUACAUGGGGAAGCUCUACCUCCACUGUACCCUAGAGCUGAUGUGAGAAGCUUACAGCGCCUUCUUCCUGGAUCCUGAAAGGGGCCUUUUUACCCCCAUGCAGAGUCAGGAAGCUGGGGCCAAAGCAGGGCAGGAAGCCGGAGUACACUCCUGGAAGGAGAGAGAGUGAGAAGGGUCGGGCGCAGGACGAGGGGUGUA